CCGGCACGGGUGAGUAACACGUAUGCAAUCCACCUGUAACAGGGGGAUAACCCGGAGAAAUCCGGACUAAUACCCCAUAAUAUGGGCGCUCCGCAUGGAGGGUCCAUUAAAGAGAGCAAUCUUGGUUACAGACGAGCAUGCGCUCCAUUAGCCAGUUGGCGGGGUAACGGCCCACCAAGGCGACGAUGGAUAGGGGUUCUGAGAGGAAGGUCCCCCACAUUGGAACUGAGACACGGUCCAA
This 241-nucleotide ribosomal RNA is filed under the name uncultured bacterium. Its description in RNAcentral is "partial 16S ribosomal RNA". It matches the Rfam family "Bacterial small subunit ribosomal RNA", at positions 100 to 334 of the family's 1533-position model. The record is from RNAcentral.